This is an RNA transcript of Dermacentor silvarum, 2629 nucleotides long. RefSeq lists it as uncharacterized. The record is from RefSeq and is a predicted model, not a curated record. The transcript has 3 exons. NCBI's taxonomy places the organism in Eukaryota, Metazoa, Arthropoda, Arachnida, Ixodida, Ixodidae.
CGGAACGUGAAAGCGAAACAAGCGAAGAAGCAAAACGACAGUUCACGAGCGACAAGUGUAGGCGGCAAGAUUCACGCUGACGACAAAAAAAACUUUAUGAACUUCAACUUCGGGGUUUACUUUUAGAUUUGACAUGAUUGUGCAGUAAUUGUAGUAGUAAUUAUAGUAUUUGGUUAAUGUUCAUGAAGAAGCUGAUAUAUACUCGCAAGGAGGUGAAAAAAGAGGGAAAUACAAGGAGGUUAGCGAGUGUAUGUACCGGCUGGCUACGUUGUGCUGGGGAUAGGGUUAAAGGGAAUAAAGGGUGAUAGAAGGAAAAACACUAAAUGCUCUUCGCAGAAAACUACGACUGAACCGCUUUGCGACAGCAAGUUCAGGUCGCACUUGCACACGGCGCCGCUGACGUACGCACUCUUGUUCAUCAGUCGCCACUGCAGGUGCGCGUUGACGAACUUGCGCUUGCAAGGCGCAGGUACAACGCGCCUAAAUUAAGCCCCUGUGUUUGCUGCAGCGUGGUAUUGUGGCGCCAUCUAGCUUGGCCCGACAGAUUGGCCCGAACCAGUACAAGCACAGAGUAUAACUUGAAUAAGCAGCUUUUACUUUGGCCCCCUCCAUUUGCUUGUAAAUGGGCCCAAUAAAAUAAAAUGAAAUGAACUGAAAUGGAAUGGACAGUAAAAGUUUGCUUGAUUAGACGUCUCGGAGGCUCACAUGACACACGAGAGGCUUCGCGCACAAGAGCCUUCACGAAGCAACGUAAACACCACGGCCACUAUAGAAACUGUUGGUAUCGAACGGCUGUGUAACUUCCCAUCGCAAAUAAAAGACGUGGAUAAGCCUCAACGAGCAGCCGCCGCUGCAGGUAUAGUCCACGUGCGCCAGGAAACGUUUGAAUGGCCACGGCACGGGCUCGCUGGCCAACGCGACCAAGGGCAACAAGCCAGACACGAAGCUUAUAAAAAGCGAAACUAAAAUCAAGUUCGCCACGGCUUCGCGGCGGCCGCUUUCUCGCUUUCGCCAUGCGGUUCUCCAUCUCCUCCUCCUCUCUCGGCGUCUUUUUGUUUUUCCCGGUUGACCCAGACCGUUCUGUCGACGGCGCCGCGGCGGCGUGGCUUUGUUUUUUUCUUCGAAGCCGAUGGGGCUCGUAAAAAAAGGCAGCCGAAGCGUGCGCGUACACGUGAAAGCUCGUCGUCCGCUUUGCGGAGAAGGACGGCCGAUUGCGCGCCCCGCUUUGCGUUGCGUUCCCUGGCGCCUUUCUUUGCACGGCGGUUUGCAGACGGCGAUGAGUCAAGCGCAAAACAGGCUGCCGCAUUCCGCGUCAGUCUCGCAUCAGGUUUCCGCGAUCGCCGUCUAAGCGGCUUCGUGAAAGGCACGCCCGCGUGUGAAUCGCGAUCCUAAGCGAGGGAUGGGGCGCGAUGUUUACUCCGCGGUGUGAUUAUACCCUCGACGAAAAGAGAAGGCGUACUAUUUGCGCUACCGUGUGAUGAGAUGGGCAAGGUGUAUAACCGACAGCUUUUCGAAAGUUUGUACACCUUGCCGGAAAGCUCCCUUUCCUUAAGCGAUAAGUCACGUGUGUAAAGCCGAACGAUUCGCCGUUCGACCAGUCGUGCCAGGAAAUGCAUCGAACGUUUUUUUUUUUUUCAACAACUUUCCAGCGGGUUUCAAAAGGUGCCAAAGUCCGAGCAGCCGUCUCUCCGACGCAUCGAACGGUCUUGGCGUGCGCGUCCUUAUCCACUUUAAAGCGAGAAAAACGUGGUACGAUUCCGCUUGCGAUUCGACGUAGGUGGUGACGGUGGAUGUGAUGUCGUUGCUACAGGUGGGAUUAGACGUAGUCAUACCGAAAACCGCAUAAAACAAGUGUAACGCAGAUCGGAGUAGCCCUUUUUUCGGCGCAUCGCAUAGUACGCCGCUUCGUGCCAGAUGUAUCUUACUUUGCAUGUCUUGUGCGUAUUAUGUGUCCUAUAUAAACCUAUGUCCUAUGUUUUCUGUGUGCUGUGCGAAUGUCGGGGUAAGCGUGCCUCACAACCGCCUACUCUCGUCCAACUGCGAUCGGUCCAUUUUUUACAAUCGCGGAAUUGCUUCCGACGUACCUGAUACUUGUCUUUAUACUUCGGAUGGCAUUCAGACUCUCCUCCGCGCUACCUUACAUAAAUUCAAGUUGUUCCGCCAUAUCAUCGAUACGUGCCAUUUGUCUCAUCAAUAGACUGCCGCUGGGAAACGCGAUCGCCAUCAGGCGUUCCGCAUAAGGCGCUGCUCCAAGCCCGAUGAAGAACUCGCGGCCCGGACGGGACGAAGAAACUCCCGCGCCUGGACCAGUGAUCCCGGGCUUGGACCAGUGGACCAACCUCCUUCCGGGAGGCACCCUACCUGCGGGCGUGACAGUGCCGGACUUUGGAGCGGCCGCUUCGGCAGUCGCCGGCAUCGUGACGAUGCCGCCCAACUUGCCCACAGCGUUCCCUACCGGAAUGCCCACCGCCCUCCCCCCUGGAUUUCCGACCGGAGUACCGAACAUCAACGACAUUGUCAACUCGCUCCCUGGCAUGAACCCGUGACAGGACCGUAGUUGGAAGCUCCGGGAAAUGGGAUUUACGCGUGGUUCGAUUUGAAUAAAAAACAAAGACAAAAGUUUGUUUCU